AGAGUUUGAUCCUGGCUCAGAUUGAACGCUGGCGGUAUGCUUAACACAUGCAAGUCGAACGGAAACGAUACUAGCUUGCUAGUAGGCGUCGAGUGGCGGACGGGUGAGUAACGCGUAGGAAUCUACCAGAUAGUGGGGGAUAGCCCGGAGAAAUUCGGAUUAAUACCGCAUAAUCUCUACGGAGUAAAGGAGGCCUCUAUUUAUAUGCUUUCGCUAUCUGAUGAGCCUGCGUAAGAUUAGCUAGUUGGUGAGGUAAAAGCUCACCAAGGCGACGAUCUUUAGCUGGUCUGAGAGGAUGAUCAGCCACACUGGGACUGAGACACGGCCCAGACUCCUACGGGAGGCAGCAGUGGGGAAUAUUGGACAAUGGGGGCAACCCUGAUCCAGCAAUACCGCGUGUGUGAAGAAGGCCUGAGGGUUGUAAAGCACUUUCAAUUGUGAAGAAAAGUUAAUAGUUAAUAACUAUUAGGCAUGACGGUAACUUUAGAAGAAGC
RNAcentral lists this ribosomal RNA (494 nucleotides) under uncultured marine bacterium. RNAcentral describes it as "bacterial SSU rRNA". It matches the Rfam family "Bacterial small subunit ribosomal RNA", at positions 8 to 491 of the family's 1533-position model. The record is from RNAcentral.